UGAGGAAUAUUGGUCAAUGGACGCAAGUCUGAACCAGCCAUGCCGCGUGCAGGAUGACGGCUCUAUGAGUUGUAAACUGCUUUUGUACGAGGGUAACACUUUCUACGUGUAGGGAGUUGAAAGUAUCGUACGAAUAAGGGUCGGCUAACUCCGUGCCAGCAGCCGCGGUAAUACGGAGGACCCGAGCGUUAUCCGGAUUUAUUGGGUUUAAAGGGUGCGCAGGCGGUUUGAUAAGUUAGAGGUGAAAGGUUAACGCUUAACGUUAAAAUUGCCUCUGAUACUGUCAGACUAGAGUAUAGUUGCUGUGGGCGGAAUGAGUGGUGUAGCGGUGAAAUGCUUAGAUAUCACUCAGAACACCGAUUGCGAAGGCAGCUCACAAAGCUAUUACUGACGCUUAGGC
Molecule: ribosomal RNA, 400 nt
Filed under: uncultured bacterium
Lineage: Bacteria
Description: partial 16S ribosomal RNA
Rfam family: Bacterial small subunit ribosomal RNA
Source: RNAcentral